GACGAACGCUGUCGGCGUGCUUAACACAUGCAAGUCGAACGGAAAGGCCCUGCUUUUGUGGGGUGCUCGAGUGGCGAACGGGUGAGUAACACGUGAGUAACCUGCCCUUGACUUUGGGAUAACUUCAGGAAACUGGGGCUAAUACCGGAUAGGAGCUCCUGCUGCAUGGUGGGGGUUGGAAAGUUUCGGCGGUUGGGGAUGGACUCGCGGCUUAUCAGCUUGUUGGUGGGGUAGUGGCUUACCAAGGCUUUGACGGGUAGCCGGCCUGAGAGGGUGACCGGCCACAUUGGGACUGAGAUACGGCCCAGACUCCUACGGGAGGCAGCAGUGGGGAAUAUUGCACAAUGGGCGGAAGCCUAAUGCAGCAACGCCGCGUGCGGGAUGACGGCCUUCGGGUUGUAAACCGCUUUCGCCUGUGACGAAGCGUGAGUGACGGUAAUGGGUAAAGAAGCACCGGCUAACUACGUGCCAGCAGCCGCGGUGAUACGUAGGGUGCGAGCGUUGUCCGGAUUUAUUGGGCGUAAAGGGCUCGUAGGUGGUUGAUCGCGUCGGAAGUGUAAUCUUGGGGCUUAACCCUGAGCGUGCUUUCGAUACGGGUUGACUUGAGGAAGGUAGGGGAGAAUGGAAUUCCUGGUGGAGCGGUGGAAUGCGCAGAUAUCAGGAGGAACACCAGUGGCGAAGGCGGUUCUCUGGGCCUUUCCUGACGCUGAGGAGCGAAAGCGUGGGGAGCGAACAGGCUUAGAUACCCUGGUAGUCCACGCUGUAAACGGUGGGUACUAGGUGUGGGGUCCAUUCCACGGGUUCCGUGCCGUAGCUAACGCUUUAAGUACCCCGCCUGGGGAGUACGGCCGCAAGGCUAAAACUCAAAGGAAUUGACGGGGCCCCGCACAAGCGGCGGAGCAUGCGGAUUAAUUCGAUGCAACGCGUAGAACCUUACCUGGGUUUGACAUGGAUCGGGAGUGCUCAGAGAUGGGUGUGCCUCUUUUGGGGUCGGUUCACAGGUGGUGCAUGGCUGUCGUCAGCUCGUGUCGUGAGAUGUUGGGUUAAGUCCCGCAACGAGCGCAACCCUUGUUCACUGUUGCCAGCACGUUAUGGUGGGGACUCAGUGGAGACCGCCGGGGUCAACUCGGAGGAAGGUGGGGAUGACGUCAAGUCAUCAUGCCCCUUAUGUCCAGGGCUUCACGCAUGCUACAAUGGCUGGUACAGAGAGUGGCGAGCCUGUGAGGGUGAGCGAAUCUCGGAAAGCCGGUCUCAGUUCGGAUUGGGGUCUGCAACUCGACCUCAUGAAGUCGGAGUCGCUAGUAAUCGCAGAUCAGCAACGCUGCGGUGAAUACGUUCCCGGGGCU
RNAcentral lists this ribosomal RNA (1346 nucleotides) under uncultured bacterium. Its description in RNAcentral is "partial 16S ribosomal RNA". It matches the Rfam family "Bacterial small subunit ribosomal RNA", at positions 28 to 1381 of the family's 1533-position model. The record is from RNAcentral.